Long non-coding RNA from Melospiza melodia melodia, 410 nucleotides. RefSeq lists it as uncharacterized. The record is from RefSeq and is a predicted model, not a curated record. The transcript has 3 exons. Lineage: Eukaryota; Metazoa; Chordata; Aves; Passeriformes; Passerellidae.
AUGUUAUUAUUCUCUCAGGUCUCACAAUGAAAUCCUCCUUCCUAAUCCAUUAAUACACUCGGCAGCACUUCAGGAUAGAAAUGUACUUGUCAAUACAAAAAAAUAGUGUCUGACUGAGGGGCUGCAACAUGAUGAAAAGAGUUUGCAUAAAUUCUACAUCCUUAUUUUCACUAAAGUUAAAGGGUGACUUUUUCAGCUGCUCAAACUCAGCACAGGAGCCCAGGGAACGUGCCACAGGCUGCAGAAGCCUCUCUGAGACCCUGCUGCCAUUAAAGGAACUAGCAACUUUGGAUAGUGGUUGACAUCUUCUCCAGACAUCACAUCCACUGCUGGGCUCACUGUGGUGCCCUGGGAGUUCACAACAAGCAGAUCAUGUGUCCACAGCAAGGGGUGGAGAAACCUGACCAUGG